RNAcentral lists this transfer RNA (63 nucleotides) under Pulchriphyllium giganteum. RNAcentral's name for it is "tRNA-Leu". The record is from RNAcentral. Lineage: Eukaryota; Metazoa; Arthropoda; Insecta; Phasmatodea; Phylliidae.
UCUAAUAUGGCAGAUUAGUGCAAUAGAUUUAAGACCUUUAAAUAAAGUAAAAUUUUAUUAGAA